AUUGAACGCUGGCGGCAGGCCUAACACAUGCAAGUCGAACGGUAACAGGAAGAAGCUUGCUUCUUUGCUGACGAGUGGCGGACGGGUGAGUAAUGUUUGGGAAACUGCCUGAUGGAGGGGGAUAACUACUGGAAACGGUAGCUAAUACCGCAUAACGUCGCAAGACCAAAGAGGGGGACCUUCGGGCCUCUUGCCAUCGGAUGUGCCCAGAUGGGAUUAGCUAGUAGGUGGGGUAACGGCUCACCUAGGCGACGAUCCCUAGCUGGUCUGAGAGGAUGACCAGCCACACUGGAACUGAGACACGGUCCAGACUCCUACGGGAGGCAGCAGUGGGGAAUAUUGCACAAUGGGCGCAAGCCUGAUGCAGCCAUGCCGCGUGUAUGAAGAAGGCCUUCGGGUUGUAAAGUACUUUCAGCGGGGAGGAAGGGAGUAAAGUUAAUACCUUUGCUCAUUGACGUUACCCGCAGAAGAAGCACCGGCUAACUCCGUG
This 490-nucleotide ribosomal RNA is filed under the name uncultured bacterium. RNAcentral's name for it is "partial 16S ribosomal RNA". It matches the Rfam family "Bacterial small subunit ribosomal RNA", at positions 30 to 507 of the family's 1533-position model. The record is from RNAcentral.